GUCGAACGGUAACAGGUUAAGCUGACGAGUGGCGAACGGGUGAGUAAUGUAUCGGAACGUGCCCAGUCGUGGGGGAUAACUGCUCGAAAGAGCAGCUAAUACCGCAUACGACCUGAGGGUGAAAGCGGGGGAUCGCAAGACCUCGCGCGAUUGGAGCGGCCGAUAUCAGAUUAGGUAGUUGGUGAGGUAAAGGCUCACCAAGCCGACGAUCUGUAGCUGGUCUGAGAGGACGACCAGCCACACUGGGACUGAGACACGGCCCAGACUCCUACGGGAGGCAGCAGUGGGGAAUUUUGGACAAUGGGCGCAAGCCUGAUCCAGCCAUGCCGCGUGCGGGAAGAAGGCCUUCGGGUUGUAAACCGCUUUUGUCAGGGAAGAAAAGGUUCUGGCUAAUACCUGGGACUCAUGACGGUACCUGAAGAAUAAGCACCGGCUAACUACGUGCCAGCAGCCGCGGUAAUACGUAGGGUGCAAGCGUUAAUCGGAAUUACUGGGCGUAAAGCGUGCGCAGGCGGUUAUGCAAGACAGAGGUGAAAUCCCCGGGCUCAACCUGGGAACUGCCUUUGUGACUGCGUGGCUAGAGUACGGUAGAGGGGGAUGGAAUUCCGCGUGUAGCAGUGAAAUGCGUAGAUAUGCGGAGGAACACCGAUGGCGAA
RNAcentral lists this ribosomal RNA (656 nucleotides) under uncultured Roseateles sp. Its description in RNAcentral is "bacterial SSU rRNA". It matches the Rfam family "Bacterial small subunit ribosomal RNA", at positions 61 to 719 of the family's 1533-position model. The record is from RNAcentral. Lineage: Bacteria; Pseudomonadati; Pseudomonadota; Betaproteobacteria; Burkholderiales; Sphaerotilaceae.